CGGCAGGCUUAAUACAUGCAAGUUGAGGGGCAGCAUGAUAUACGCGAGUAUAUUGUUGGCGACCGGCGGACGGGUGAGUAAUAGGUAGGUAACCUACCUCAUACUGAGGCAUAGCUGGGAGAAAUUCCAGGUAAUUCCUCAUGAGGUUAUAUGACACAUGUGAUAUAAUCAAAGGUAUCGCAAGGUACUGGUAUGAGAUGGGCUUACUGACCAUUAGCUAGUUGGUGAGAUAAGAGCUCACCAAGGCGAAGAUGGUUAGGGGUUUUGAGAGAGAGAUCCCCCACAUUGGAACUGAGAUACGGUCCAGACUCCUACGGGAGGCAGCAGUAGGGAAUAUUGGGCAAUGGGCGGAAGCCUGACCCAGCCAUGCCGCGUGAAGGAAGACGGCCUUAUGGGUUGUAAACUUCUUUACUAUGCGACUAACUAGAUUUACGAGAUAAUUCUAUAGAAUGUAGCAUAGCAAAAAGCACCGGCUAACUCCGUG
This 484-nucleotide ribosomal RNA is filed under the name uncultured bacterium. Its description in RNAcentral is "bacterial SSU rRNA". It matches the Rfam family "Bacterial small subunit ribosomal RNA", at positions 40 to 507 of the family's 1533-position model. The record is from RNAcentral.